AUCCAGCUGACGAGUCCCAAACAGGACGGAACACUGGUCCCGGAU
RNAcentral lists this non-coding RNA (45 nucleotides) under Schistosoma margrebowiei. The record is from RNAcentral. Lineage: Eukaryota; Metazoa; Platyhelminthes; Trematoda; Strigeidida; Schistosomatidae.